GCGGACGGCUGAGUAACGCGUAGGAACGUACCCCAAACUGAGGGAUAAGCACCAGAAAUGGUGUCUAAUACCGCAUGUGCUCUACGGAGUAAAGCUUCGGCGGUUUGGGAACGGCCUGCGUAUGAUUAGCUAGUUGGUGAGGUAAUGGCUCACCAAGGCUAUGAUCAUUAGCUGGUCUGAGAGGAUGAUCAGCCAGACUGGGACUGAGAACGGCCCAGACUCCUACGGGAGGCAGCAGUAGGGAAUUUUCCACAAUGGGCGAAAGCCUGAUGGAGCAACGCCGCGUGCAGGAUGAAUGCCUUCGGGUUGUAAACUGCUUUUAUAUGUGACGAAUAUGACGGUAGCAUAUGAAUAAGGAUCGGCUAACUCCGUGCCAGCAGCCGCGGUCAUACGGAGGAUCCAAGCGUUAUCCGGAAUUACUGGGCGUAAAGAGUUGCGUAGGUGGCAGGGUAAGUAGAUAGUGAAAGCGUGUGGCUCAACCAUACAUCCAUUAUCUAAACUGCCCAGCUAGAGGACGAGAGAGGUUAUUGGAAUUCCCAGUGUAGGAGUGAAAUCCGUAGAUAUUGGGAGGAACACCGAUGGCGUAGGCAGAUAACUGGCUCGUUCCUGACGCUAAGGCACGAAAGCGUGGGGAGCAAACGGGAUUAGAUACCCCGGUAGUCCACGCCGUAAACUAUGGAUGCUAGCUGUUAUCGGUAUCGACCCCGGUAGUAGCGAAGCUAACGCGUUAAGCAUCCCGCCUGUGGAGUACGGUCGCAAGACUAAAACAUAAAGGAAUUGACGGGGACCCGCAC
This 794-nucleotide ribosomal RNA is filed under the name uncultured bacterium. RNAcentral describes it as "bacterial SSU rRNA". It matches the Rfam family "Bacterial small subunit ribosomal RNA", at positions 98 to 926 of the family's 1533-position model. The record is from RNAcentral.